Molecule: long non-coding RNA, 304 nt
Organism: Cervus elaphus (red deer)
Lineage: Eukaryota; Metazoa; Chordata; Mammalia; Artiodactyla; Cervidae
Exons: 3
Source: RefSeq, a predicted model, not a curated record
UUGAACUUCAUGGAAUAAAAUCAUACAGUAUAUAACCUUUUGCACCUGGCUGCUUGUAAUCAACAUUGUGUCUAUGAGAGAUAUCCAGAUUGUUGUGAAGUGAUAGAUUCCAGUUUAUGACAUGCCUUAGGAAGAUCAUGAACUCAUCUCCUCCCAUUAACACACUGAAUCUACAGCUACAUGUGGAGCAGUUUUCUCUGGGAAAAAACCUAAAAACUAGCUGAAUGUCUUCUCUACACAUCAGGCGGAGUACAUUGUGUGAAAUGCCAGGCUGGAUGAAUCACAAACUGAAAUCAGGAUUGCU